ACAGGCAGAGCCUGCGGCCCCAGCGCCGUGCGGCCGAGAGAGCCCAGCCCAGGGCCCGGGGCGUGCUGAGCGGCUCGGGGCCCCGCACGGUGCCAGCCGCGGCCGUGGCUGCCCUCACAGCAGGCCUGAAUGGCAGCUGCGGCACUCAGCGGCUGCUGACGGCUCUGGCCCCAGGGAGACCCCACGGCCUCAGGCUCCCUCAUUAGCGUAACCCGCCCUUAAUUACCGGGGCUGGGGAAACGGUUUGGUGCAAGGGCUGAGCUCCCCCAGCUGCCUCUGCUGCCUUCAGUCUCUUACCAGGAGACAGGAAAGGGAGGGGAGCCAAGGCAGAGGCUGCAGGGGACUGGCACCGAGCGAGGCUCAGGGCUCAGGGCUGGCACUCUCCUGGCAGCAGCAGAUGAGAGCAGUGCUGAGCCCGGGCCCUUUUUUGGCUCCUCUCCCUGCCACCCCACGGCUGCUCUGAAACACCUGUCUCUUGUGUAUGGAGAAGGAAUGGUGUGUGUGCCAUCCUGUGCUGGCUUUGCUGCCAUCCUCAGCAUCCUCCACUGGAAGGUCAGGAGUGCUGUGCUCUGCCCAGAGUGCAGCUUGUCUGAUCUGAACAGACCAGUGAUCUCCUCAGCUGUGCUCCUGAGAGGGAAGUUCUUCAUUAUCCACAGAGAAGUUUUCUUGUAAUCAUGGUUCUGCUGUUUCUUCAGGUGCCUGAAUCUGUGUGCUCCCACUUGUAUUUUGUUCACAGCAACCUUAACAUCUUUCUUAGAGCUCUUUGGGAUGUGCAGGCAGCAGUGCAUGCAGUGAGAUGUGUGCAAGCUGCUGCAGCAAGACAAGACCAGCAGCAGUGCUAAGAAGGAAUGCAGUGAGCAGUGCUGCCAGGCUUUUCUCUUUGAGAGUCUCACACACUCUAAUAGAUGCCAGCUCUUAGCUAAAGCAUUCCAAGCUGUCUGUGCUUGAUCUCCAGGAGCAGCAACUGCUGUCCUUGCUGCUCCUUCCCUGCUGUGGUGAUUCCAACUGGGUACCAACCUCCUUCCCAUGCCAAACCCAAUUGUCACCAAAUAUCGCUGCCCCAUAAGUGCCAGCAGCAGCUCUCUGGGCUGCCUAAGGAAGUGGCUGUGUCCAGUUAUGCCUGCUGAGGUGGAGACCUGCAUAGCAACGAGGGAAAAGGAUUCAAAAGCCUUUUGGAUAAGGAGUGUCUGCAGGUACAGACUUACACAAUUGUUUGCUUUGGAAAAGACCUGCAGGAUCACCAAGUCAAACCCUCAGCUUAAGACCACCAUGUCAAUGAAAUCAUGUCCCAAAGUGCCAUGUCCACAGGUUUCUUGAGUGUCUCCAGAGAUGGUGACUCUUGCACCUUCCUGGGCAGCCUGUUCCAAAACUUGGACACCCUUUCAGUAAAGAAAUUGUUCCUAAUAUCCAGCCUGAACUUCUUCUGGCACAAUUUCAGACCAUUUCUUCUUGGUCUGUCACAUGGUAUCAGGGAGAUGAGAUUGCCCUCACCUCACUCCAGUCUCCUUUCAGGGACUUGUGGAGAGCAGUGAGGUUGCCCCUUGGCCUUCUCUUCUCCAGGCUGCACAACCCCAUUUCCCUCAGCUGCUCCUCACCCUAACCCUAACCCUCCC
This is a long non-coding RNA of Pogoniulus pusillus (Red-fronted tinkerbird), 1613 nucleotides long. RefSeq lists it as uncharacterized. The record is from RefSeq and is a predicted model, not a curated record. The transcript is spliced from 5 exons. Lineage: Eukaryota; Metazoa; Chordata; Aves; Piciformes; Lybiidae.